RNAcentral lists this unclassified non-coding RNA (306 nucleotides) under uncultured fungus. Its description in RNAcentral is "sequence contains ITS1". The stretch from base 1 to 105 matches the Rfam family "5.8S ribosomal RNA", at positions 50 to 154 of the family's 154-position model. The record is from RNAcentral. Lineage: Eukaryota; Fungi.
GAAAUGCGAUAAGUAGUGUGAAUUGCAGAAUUCAGUGAAUCAUCGAAUCUUUGAACGCACAUUGCGCCCUUUGGUAUUCCGAAGGGCAUGCCUGUUCGAGCGUCAUUACAGCUCUCAAGCACAGCUUGGUGUUGGGCGUCUGUCCCCGCAAUUGCGCGGCGGACUCGCCUGGAAAGCAUCGGCGUCCGGCGGUGGGUCUUGCGCGUAGCAGAUUGUUCGCACAAGAGCCCGCCUGCAGGGCUGCCGUACACGUUGUUUUUGUACCAGUUUGACCUCGGAUCAGGUAGGGAUACCCGCUGAACUUAA